GAUGAACGCUAGCUACAGGCUUAACACAUGCAAGUCGAGGGGCAGCAUGAACUUAGCUUGCUAAGUUUGAUGGCGACCGGCGCACGGGUGAGUAACACGUAUCCAACCUGCCGAUGACUCGGGGAUAGCCUUUCGAAAGAAAGAUUAAUACCCGAUGGCAUAGUUCUUCCGCAUGGUGGAACUAUUAAAGAACUUCGGUCAUCGAUGGGGAUGCGUUCCAUUAGGUUGUUGGCGGGGUAACGGCCCACCAAGCCUUCGAUGGAUAGGGGUUCUGAGAGGAAGGUCCCCCACAUUGGAACUGAGACACGGUCCAAACUCCUACGGGAGGCAGCAGUGAGGAAUAUUGGUCAAUGGACGAGAGUCUGAACCAGCCAAGUAGCGUGAAGGAUGACUGCCCUAUGGGUUGUAAACUUCUUUUAUACGGGAAUAAAGUGAGGCACGUGUGCCUUUUUGUAUGUACCGUAUGAAUAAGGAUCGGCUAACUCCGUG
Molecule: ribosomal RNA, 489 nt
Filed under: uncultured bacterium
Lineage: Bacteria
Description: bacterial SSU rRNA
Rfam family: Bacterial small subunit ribosomal RNA
Source: RNAcentral